GAAAGCACAGGCAACUGACGGAACGUGGAGCACACCACAUGGGAGCCUGCUGUAAUACGAACUGUCGACCGUCUGGGCAAACCUG
This 85-nucleotide non-coding RNA is filed under the name unclassified sequences. The record is from Rfam.